CGCAUCUGUGCAUGCAGCAUAUCAAUAAGCGGAGGAAAAGAAACUAACAAGGAUUCCCUCAGUAACGGCGAGUGAAGCGGGAAGAGCUCAAAUUUGAAAUCUUGAAAGGUCACCUUUCACGAAUUGUAGUUUAAAGAAGUGUUUUCUGUUACGAUCGUAAUAUAAGUUCUUUGGAAUAGGACAUCACAGAGGGUGAGGAAUCCCGUCUAUGAUUGCGAUUUGUAGCUUUGUGAUACACUUUCAAAGAGUCGGGUUGUUUGGGAAUGCAGCCCAAAACGGGAGGUAAAUUUCUUCUAAGGCUAAAUAUUGGCGAGAGACCGAUAGCGAACAAGUACCGUGAGGGAAAGAUGAAAAGAACUUUGAAAAGAGAGUUAAAUAGUACGUGAAAUUGUCAAAAGGGAAGCGUUUAACACCAGUGUUGUUUUCUGAAAAUCAACCUCUGUUAGCUUUAUGCAUGUUUGUUUAGACCUAAUCAGCUAUCUUGCAUGUUCUAUUGUUUGCAGUGGUGCACUUUUCAGUUUACAGGUCAACAUCAGUUUUUUUUACCGUAAAAAAGUUAAAGAAAGGUAGCUCAUGGCUCCGGUCGUGAGUGUUAUAGUCUUUUUCCUAUGCGGUAGGAGAGACUGAGGUCUGCAGUGUAGGCUAUUUGGCUAGAUACUCAGGUGCUAUGUGAUACCAUUUCAUAAACAACUUGUUGAUUAUGUUUUGUCUAUUGCAUACUCGCUUGUACUAUCAUACCUACGCUUAGGAUGUUGAAGUCAUCGUAUCGCGC
This 772-nucleotide ribosomal RNA is filed under the name uncultured Neocallimastigales. RNAcentral's name for it is "partial large subunit ribosomal RNA". It matches the Rfam family "Eukaryotic large subunit ribosomal RNA", at positions 26 to 645 of the family's 3401-position model. The record is from RNAcentral. Lineage: Eukaryota; Fungi; Neocallimastigomycota; Neocallimastigomycetes; Neocallimastigales.